GGUGGCGGCAUGGCCUGGGGGUCCUGGCACCGCUGCUCCUCUGCCCACCCCAACUUCCCGGCAUGGCGGCUGCCCUCUCUGAGCGUCCCCAACCAAACUGCAGGGGAUAUGACAGCAAGCUGGACUUGGGGAGACAUCUCUGCUCGAGUGCACGUUGGCCUGAUGACGACUGCUCUUGGGUUCACGGGUUCCAGGCUCUGCCCGGGAGCCUCAUGCAAACUGGUCCCAUUCUACAGAUGAGGAAACUGAGGCACAGGGUGAAUACGGCUGUCCCUGAGCUCCUGCAGCCAGUAAGUGUCUCUGAGGAUGAACUGCCAUGUGCCUGGUGGGGACGCCGUCCCUGGCCCUUGCUGGGUGCCUCUGAGACAAGGUCAGCUGAGCCUGCCAUCCUAACUCAGACACACCAUCUAACUCUCCAAGUCCCUUCUCGGCCCCAGCAAAUUCUCACCUCCAGAGGCCAGAUCUGCCCCGCAGGUCUUAGGAAAUACAGCCCUACUUCCAUCCAGCACACCAACCCAAGGAAGUGCCUCGGAGUCCUGGGGCCCAAGGUGGGCCUGGCGUUGGUCUCACGGCGGCGGCUCCUCCUGGAGUGGAGUGAACUCAAGCCAGGAUGCCCGGUCUCCACGGUGGAAACCGUGUUGCCGGCUGCUCCCUCCUGGGGACUCUGGGCCUGGGGUUCCUGUGGGAGUUGGGGGGAUAGCUGAGUCCUAUGGAGGUGCCCCUCUCCUCCCCACCCAGUGGAGCUUGGGGUGGGGGCCGGCGAAGACAGGGUGGGAAGCAUGGGGCAUUCCCCCUCCACACAGCGCUGAGAAACUAAGGGAGCAUCCAGAAAACGGUGCCCACUCCUGUGUGGAGGCGGAUAUCACAGGCACCAGCUCCAGGCGACCCUAGCUCAGCCAAAGAACCAGGGCCAGUGUGUGCCGCAAAGCCCCUGUCUGCUCCCUCCCGCCUGGGACCACUGUGGCGAGGGGAAGGGAGUGUGGUGGCCCUCUCCUGACUCCUGAAGCCUGAAGUCCAAGCUCCUGGCCCUCAGGCAGGCCAGGAUCUAGACACCACUGCCCCAAACACACCCCCCAGUCCCAGCCUGCAGGCUUCCUGCAGGAUCCCCCGGUGCCUGGGGGCUGAGAAGAGUGAGCAGGGUGCAAAGAAGCUUCGUCAGGAGGGCGGUCUCCACCCGCCUUGGACCCCUGGGCAUGGUGUCCUGGGGCCUGGGCUCAGAUGGACCCUGGGAGGAACGGUGCGGGGACUGUUUUUUGCUCCAAGAGAACAAAGUGCCACAUUGCCUCAGCAGAGGGCUGCCGAGCUGGGAGGACCCACAGUGCAAGGCCGCACAACCCCCUAGGAAGCCUUAGAGUCUUCAGGUUCCAGGCCGAGGCUGUGGGCGUGGACCCUUGUGCAAACCCCACUGGAAGAAAAACCUUACAGCUCAGGAGAAGGAGGGGCCCCACCCACUCCCAGAGCUCAUAACGGAGGGGUGGUGCCCACAUGAGGCCUGGGGAAGGGUUGGGGCUGGGACACCCCCUCACCACCCCCAGAUACCCCAGGCAGCCUCUCCCUCCACAGAGAGACCCACUAGGCCUGACCCUGCCCUGGGCACAGGGUCGAGACAGGGACGGCCCAUGGGGGAAAGACGGUUUCAGGGGCCACUGGCCGGGCCAGGUGGGUCUUUCCCCAGUUCUAGGUGGCAAAUGGGGUGGGGCCAGAGCCUUCUGGCUAGGGAAGACACUGGCCUGGCUGGUGUGGCAGGGGCAACGAAGGAGGGUCAAAGGCCACUUUGGCCUGGAAGAGUCCCCAGCCACCUGGACGGGGGUAGCCAGGCCUGGUCCCUGCCCCCACUCUCCAAGGGGUCGGGGCAGCCGGGCAGAGCCAGUAAGUGUUUGUUUUCAGAU
Molecule: non-coding RNA, 1889 nt
Filed under: Pongo abelii (Sumatran orangutan)
Lineage: Eukaryota; Metazoa; Chordata; Mammalia; Primates; Hominidae
Source: RNAcentral